Molecule: ribosomal RNA, 467 nt
Filed under: uncultured bacterium
Lineage: Bacteria
Description: partial 16S ribosomal RNA
Rfam family: Bacterial small subunit ribosomal RNA
Source: RNAcentral
UGGGGAAUUUUGGACAAUGGGGGCAACCCUGAUCCAGCAAUGCCGCGUGUGUGAAGAAGGCCUUCGGGUUGUAAAGCACUUUUGUCCGGAAAGAAAACGCCGUGGUUAAUACCCGUGGCGGAUGACGGUACCGGAAGAAUAAGCACCGGCUAACUACGUGCCAGCAGCCGCGGUAAUACGUAGGGUGCAAGCGUUAAUCGGAAUUACUGGGCGUAAAGCGUGCGCAGGCGGUCCGCUAAGACAGAUGUGAAAUCCCCGGGCUUAACCUGGGAACUGCAUUUGUGACUGGCGGGCUAGAGUAUGGCAGAGGGGGGUAGAAUUCCACGUGUAGCAGUGAAAUGCGUAGAGAUGUGGAGGAAUACCGAUGGCGAAGGCAGCCCCCUGGGCCAAUACUGACGCUCAUGCACGAAAGCGUGGGGAGCAAACAGGAUUCAGAUACCCUGGUAGUCCACGCCCUAAACGAUGUC